This 136-nucleotide microRNA precursor is filed under the name Hordeum vulgare. Its description in RNAcentral is "microRNA MIR1122". It matches the Rfam family "MIR1120/MIR1122 microRNA precursor family". Lineage: Eukaryota; Viridiplantae; Streptophyta; Magnoliopsida; Poales; Poaceae. The record is from RNAcentral.
CUCAUACUCCCUCCGUCCCAAAAUUCUUGUCUUAGAUUUGUCUAUAUAUGAAUGUAUCUAGUCACGUUUUAGUAUUUAGAUACAUCCAUUUUUAGACAAACCUAAGACAAGAAUUUUGGGACAGAGGGAGUAUUAC